This 559-nucleotide ribosomal RNA is filed under the name uncultured Glomus. RNAcentral describes it as "SSU rRNA". It matches the Rfam family "Eukaryotic small subunit ribosomal RNA", at positions 546 to 1106 of the family's 1831-position model. Lineage: Eukaryota; Fungi; Glomeromycota; Glomeromycetes; Glomerales; Glomeraceae. The record is from RNAcentral.
AAUUGGAGGGCAAGUCUGGUGCCAGCAGCCGCGGUAAUUCCAGCUCCAAUAGCGUAUAUUAAAGUUGUUGCAGUUAAAAAGCUCGUAGUUGAAUUUCGGGGUUAGUAGGUUGGUCAUGCCUCUGGUAUGUACUGGUCUCACUGAUUCCUCCUUCCUUAUGAACCGUAAUGCCAUUAAUUUGGUGUUGCGGGGAAUUUGGACUGUUACUUUGAAAAAAUUAGAGUGUUUAAAGCAGGCUAACGCUUGAAUACAUUAGCAUGGAAUAAUGAAAUAGGACGUUCGAUCUUAUUUUGUUGGUUUCUAGGAUUGACGUAAUGAUUAAUAGGGAUAGUUGGGGGCAUUAGUAUUCAAUUGUCAGAGGUGAAAUUCUUGGAUUUAUUGAAGACUAACUACUGCGAAAGCAUUUGCCAAGGAUGUUUUCAUUAAUCAAGAACGAAAGUUAGGGGAUCGAAGACGAUCAGAUACCGUCGUAGUCUUAACCAUAAACUAUGCCGACUAGGGAUCGGAUGAUGUUAAUUUUUUAAUGACUCAUUUGGCGCCUUACGGGAAACCAAAGUGU